CUCUGAUGAUUAGCAUGUCGCCCCAGUCUGACCGGAGCACGAUUGAUUGACCCUCUCUGAGC
Molecule: small nucleolar RNA, 62 nt
Filed under: Euglena gracilis
Lineage: Eukaryota; Euglenozoa; Euglenophyceae; Euglenales; Euglenaceae
Description: Eg-m12
Source: RNAcentral